RNAcentral lists this ribosomal RNA (279 nucleotides) under uncultured bacterium. RNAcentral describes it as "partial 16S ribosomal RNA". It matches the Rfam family "Bacterial small subunit ribosomal RNA", at positions 506 to 784 of the family's 1533-position model. The record is from RNAcentral.
CGCCAGCAGCCGCGGUAAGACGAACCGACCGAACGUUAUUCGGAAUUACUGGGCUUAAAGAGUUCGUAGGUGGUUAAAAAAGUUGGUGGUGAAAUCCCAGAGCUUAACUCUGGAACUGCCAUCAAAACUUUUUAGCUAGAGUAUGAUAGAGGAAAGCAGAAUUUCUAGUGUAGAGGUGAAAUUCGUAGAUAUUAGAAAGAAUACCGGUUGCGAAGGCAGCUUUCUGGAUCAUUACUGACACUGAGGAACGAAAGCAUGGGUAGCGAAGAGGAUUAGAUA